This 341-nucleotide unclassified non-coding RNA is filed under the name soil metagenome. RNAcentral's name for it is "partial contains 5.8S ribosomal RNA, internal transcribed spacer 2, and large subunit ribosomal RNA". The stretch from base 1 to 120 matches the Rfam family "5.8S ribosomal RNA", at positions 35 to 154 of the family's 154-position model. The record is from RNAcentral.
GAUGAAGAACGCAGCGAAAUGCGAUAAGUAGUGUGAAUUGCAGAAUUCAGUGAAUCAUCGAAUCUUUGAACGCACAUUGCGCCCUUUGGUAUUUCAAAGGGCAUGCCUGUUCGAGCGUCAUUUGUACCCUCAAGCUUUGCUUGGUGUUGGGCGUCUUGUCUCUAGCUUUGCUGGAGACUCGCCUUAAAGUAAUUGGCAGCCGGCCUACUGGUUUCGGAGCGCAGCACAAGUCGCACUCUCUAUCAGCAAAGGUCUAGCAUCCAUUAAGCCUUUUUUUCAACUUUUGACCUCGGAUCAGGUAGGGAUACCCGCUGAACUUAAGCAUAUCAAUAAGCGGAGGA